CAGGGUGUAGCUAAAUAGAAAAGCGUCUCCCUUACACCGAGAAAGCACCCGUGCAAAUCGAGUCACCCUGA
Molecule: transfer RNA, 71 nt
Filed under: Tigrigobius gemmatus
Lineage: Eukaryota; Metazoa; Chordata; Actinopteri; Gobiiformes; Gobiidae
Description: tRNA-Val
Rfam family: tRNA
About the family: Transfer RNA (tRNA) molecules are approximately 80 nucleotides in length. Their secondary structure includes four short double-helical elements and three loops (D, anti-codon, and T loops). Further hydrogen bonds mediate the characteristic L-shaped molecular structure. tRNAs have two regions of fundamental functional importance: the anti-codon, which is responsible for specific mRNA codon recognition, and the 3' end, to which the tRNAs corresponding amino acid is attached (by aminoacyl-tRNA synthetases). tRNAs cope with the degeneracy of the genetic code in two manners: having more than one tRNA (with a specific anti-codon) for a particular amino acid; and 'wobble' base-pairing, i.e. permitting non-standard base-pairing at the 3rd anti-codon position.
Source: RNAcentral